UAGAUACCCUGGUAGUCCACGCCGUAAACUAUGAGAGCUAGCCGUCGGGCAGUAUACUGUUCGGUGGCGCAGCAAACGCAUUAAGCUCUCCGCCUGGGGAGUACGGUCGCAAGAUUAAAACUCAAAGGAAUUGACGGGGACCCGCACAAGCGGUGGAUGAUGUGGAUUAAUUCGAUGCAACGCGAAAAACCUUACCUACCCUUGACAUCCCGAUCGCGGUUACCAGAGAUGGUUUCCUUCAGUUAGGCUG
Molecule: ribosomal RNA, 250 nt
Filed under: uncultured bacterium
Lineage: Bacteria
Description: partial 16S ribosomal RNA
Rfam family: Bacterial small subunit ribosomal RNA
Source: RNAcentral